GCCACUGCUAUUGGGGUUCGGCUAAGCCAUGCGAGUGGAGGGCGUCCCGCAAGGGAUGGCCCCGCAGACAGCUCAGUAACACGUCGUCAGCCCACCUUAGGGUGGGGGACAACCUCGGGAAACUGAGGAUAAUCCCCCAUAGGCGGGGGAGGCUAGAAUGCGCCCCCGCUGAAAGCUCAGGCGCCCUAGGACGGGACGGCGGCCUAUCAGGUAGUUGGUGGUGUGACG
RNAcentral lists this ribosomal RNA (228 nucleotides) under uncultured archaeon. RNAcentral describes it as "partial 16S ribosomal RNA". It matches the Rfam family "Archaeal small subunit ribosomal RNA", at positions 23 to 246 of the family's 1478-position model. The record is from RNAcentral.